RNAcentral lists this unclassified non-coding RNA (292 nucleotides) under plant metagenome. Its description in RNAcentral is "partial contains small subunit ribosomal RNA, internal transcribed spacer 1, and 5.8S ribosomal RNA". The stretch from base 244 to 292 matches the Rfam family "5.8S ribosomal RNA", at positions 1 to 49 of the family's 154-position model. The record is from RNAcentral.
UUUCCGUAGGUGAACCUGCGGAAGGAUCAUUAAUGAGUUGUCAUGGGGUUCGAUGCUGGCAGCCAGUUUUUGGAUGCAUGUGCUUGCCCUAACAAUCAUCUUCUUCCAAACACCUGUGCACAUUUUUGAGGGAGUCUUGAGUUGGUUGCCGCUCUUGGGUGAUUUUCUCACAUUCCCUUAAAUCAUUAUACGCUAUUAACAAUGUUGAACGUGCUCUGUGCCGCAAGGCCAUUAAUAUAAUACAACUUUUAACAACGGAUCUCUUGGCUCUCGCAUCGAUGAAGAACGCAAC